AACGAACGCUGACGGCGUGCUUCAUACAUGCAAGUCGAGCGGAUGUAGCAAUACAUCAGCGGCGAACGGGUGCGUAACACGUGAACAAUCUGCCCUCAGGUUUGGGAUAACGGCUCCAACGAGCCGCUAAUACCGGUUAGGUUAGUUUGGUCGCAUGGCCGAAUUAAGAAAGGUGCAAUUGCAUCGCCUGAGGAUGAGUUCGCGGACCAUUAGCUAGUUGGUGGGGUAAAGGCCCACCAAGGCUACGAUGGUUAGCCGGCCUGAGAGGGUGAUCGGCCACAUUGGGACUGAGAUACGGCCCAGACCCCUACGGGAGGCAGCAGUAGGGAAUUUUGCGCAAUGGACGAAAGUCUGACGCAGCAACGCCGUGUGAGGGAUGAAGCAUUUCGGUGUGUAAACCUCUGUCGUUGGUGACUAAAGUUUUCAGGGGUGGAAAGCCUGGAGAUUGAAUGUAGCCAAGAAGGAAGCACUGGCUAACUCUGUGCCAGCAGCCGCGGUAAUAC
RNAcentral lists this ribosomal RNA (503 nucleotides) under uncultured bacterium. Its description in RNAcentral is "bacterial SSU rRNA". It matches the Rfam family "Bacterial small subunit ribosomal RNA", at positions 29 to 526 of the family's 1533-position model. The record is from RNAcentral.